CUUCGGGCUUAGUGGCGAACGGGUGAGUAACGCGUGGGAACCUGCCCCCGAGUGGAGAACAACCGCUGGAAACGGUGGCUAAUACCGCAUACGCCUCUUCGGAGGGAAAGCUUUAUGCGCUCAGGGAGGGUCCCGCGUCCGAUUAGCUAGUUGGAGAGGUAACGGCUCACCAAGGCGACGAUCGGUAGCUGGUCUGAGAGGAUGAUCAGCCACACUGGGACUGAGACACGGCCCAGACUCCUACGGGAGGCAGCAGUGGGGAAUAUUGGACAAUGGGGGCAACCCUGAUCCAGCAAUGCCGCGUGCGUGAAGAAGGCCUUAGGGUUGUAAAGCGCUUUCACCCGUGACGAUGAUGACGGUAGCGGGAGAAGAAGCCCCGGCUAACUCCGUGCCAGCAGCCGCGGUAAUACGGAGGGGGCGAGCGUUGUUCGGAAUUACUGGGCGUAAAGGGCGCGUAGGCGGCUCUAUCAGUCAGACGUGAAAGCCCCGGGCUCAACCUG
RNAcentral lists this ribosomal RNA (500 nucleotides) under uncultured Alphaproteobacteria bacterium. RNAcentral describes it as "bacterial SSU rRNA". It matches the Rfam family "Bacterial small subunit ribosomal RNA", at positions 84 to 616 of the family's 1533-position model. The record is from RNAcentral. Lineage: Bacteria; Pseudomonadati; Pseudomonadota; Alphaproteobacteria.